UUAAACAUUGUGUCCGUUAGUCUUCUCAGACAUUCAGUCAAGUUCAGUUCAAAAUGAUGAUAAUACCAAUAGUUGGCCUAAUUAUAGUAAUAGCUCCUCUUAUAAUACCUACAUCCAUCAUAAUGAGUAAUGUGACUUCUUGAGCAAUUUGGCCGGGAAAUAUAAUGACAACAACGAAGGAAACGGAGUUAUUUGGACGUGUUUUUGGGAUCACAAUCAGUCCCUGACAGAAGACGUGAUGGUGGUAAACCUACAAACUGAAUUCGAAACAUCCAUUAUAUAUGAAAGCAGCUCAAAUCCUUUCAAUAUAAUUUAAAGUCAUGAUAGAUUCAUUAAUCUUAAUUUGAUUAUGCAAAAUUGAACAGAUUUAUAAU
Drosophila innubila is the source of this 374-nucleotide long non-coding RNA. RefSeq lists it as uncharacterized. The record is from RefSeq and is a predicted model, not a curated record. NCBI's taxonomy places the organism in Eukaryota, Metazoa, Arthropoda, Insecta, Diptera, Drosophilidae. The transcript is spliced from 2 exons.